CCGAAGUGGGGCGGGCCUACUAUGGCAUUGCCAAUUCGACUUAUUAGACUCUUGACUACUAGACAAAGAUACUGAUUUCUUGGCCCUUUCAGAGUCCUCCUCCCCCGGGAUUUCCUCCUGAUGAAGACGGGGCUGCGCUAACUGCCUAAUCUUCUACUGGUGCUUGCUCCGGGCCUUGGACUGUUGGACUUACCAAUGUUGAUUUAUACAGUUGACGAUGCUACGGCUUCCCAACCCUACUAUGAGAGGAUGAUCUGAGAGGAGCUUAUGUCACUCAGCAUUUAAAACUUUUUCAAGACUGCUCCGGGAGGCAGAUGUGGGGAACAUUGGUGGGUGGGGGAAUUCCUUACCCAGCCCUGCCGCGUGUGUGUCUGAGGUCUUCCCAUUGUCCCCCUUUUAAUUUGGAAGGAAGGGCGGUCCACCUAUACGUCAGUGUUUUGAAAUACCGAGGAAAACACACCGGGUAAUUCUGUGCCAGCAUGCGCGGUAAUACAGAGGGUGCAAUCGUUUAUCAAGAACUACAGGGCAAACAGCGCACGAAUGUCUGAUCGUGUGGUUCUAUGUUUAAUCCCCAUGAUCAACCUGUGAACUCGCUUCCAAAGAGGCGAGAUAUAGUAUGGUACAGGGUGGGAGACAUUUACUGUGUAGCCGCGCAAUGCGUAUAUACAGGAUUGAACACCGUGGUACGACAGCGACCUUCUGUACUGUUUUGCUGACCCAUGAUGUGCAAAAUCGUGGGGAACAACAGAAUAGUAGACCCUUGGUGGUCCGCGGUUCCUACCAUAUGAAUAACUAACCCGUUUGGCGAGCAUCAGACGUAUUAUUAGCCGCCCCUAUAUAAAUUAUUGUCCCCCUGUUGAAGUGAGGUCCCCCCAGGUUGUAACUCACAAGUAUUUGAAAGGAGCUUACAAGAGAGGAGCGCGAGGUUGAUCAAUCUACUGAAAAACGUACCAGCUGAAUGCCCGGUGUCUAAAGAUUGCGCGCCUUCUCUCACGGUAAAAGUACGCCAGCAUGCUAUAUCGUCUCGACCAGAUGUAGUUCACAAGACAGCGCGUACU
Molecule: ribosomal RNA, 1058 nt
Filed under: Pseudomonas brassicacearum
Lineage: Bacteria; Pseudomonadati; Pseudomonadota; Gammaproteobacteria; Pseudomonadales; Pseudomonadaceae
Description: partial 16S ribosomal RNA
Rfam family: Bacterial small subunit ribosomal RNA (bases 1-832)
Source: RNAcentral